This 447-nucleotide ribosomal RNA is filed under the name uncultured bacterium. RNAcentral's name for it is "bacterial SSU rRNA". It matches the Rfam family "Bacterial small subunit ribosomal RNA", at positions 28 to 505 of the family's 1533-position model. The record is from RNAcentral.
GGCGAACGCUAGCGGUGCGCCUAACACAUGCAAGUCGAGCGAGAAGUUUUUUAGCUUGCUAAAAAAUAGACAGCGGCGAACGGGUGAGUAACACGUUGGUAUCUGCCCCCAAGUCAGGGAUAGCCCACCGAAAGGUGGAUUAAUACCGGAUAGUCUCUUCGGAGUAAAAAUUUAUUGCUUGGGGAGGAACCUGCGAAGUAUCAGCUUGUUGGUGAGGUAAUAGCUCACCAAGGCUAUGACGCUUAAUUGGUCUGAGAGGAUGACCAGUCACAAUGGAACUGAGACACGGUCCAUACUCCUACGGGAGGCAGCAGUGAGGAAUCUUCCACAAUGGACGAAAGUCUGAUGGAGCGACACCGCGUGAAGGAUGAAGGCCUAACGGUCGUAAACUUCUUUUCUGAGGGAGCAUAAUGAGAGUACCUCAAGAAUAAGGGACGGCUAAAUACG